AGUCGCCGCGGUAAUGCGAAGGGGGCUAGCGUUGUUCGGAAUUACUGGGCGUAAAGCGCACGUAGGCGGAUACUUAAGUUAGGGGUGAAAUCCCAGGGCUCAACCCUGGAACUGCCUUUAAUACUGGGUAUCUUGAGUUCGAGAGAGGUAAGUGGAAUUCCGAGUGUAGAGGUGAAAUUCGUAGAUAUUCGGAGGAACACCAGUGGCGAAGGCGGCUUACUGGCUCGAUACUGACGCUGAGGUGCGAAAGCGUGGGGAGCAAACAGGAUUAGAUACCCCCGUAGUCCCUGUCUCUUAUACA
RNAcentral lists this ribosomal RNA (301 nucleotides) under uncultured bacterium. Its description in RNAcentral is "partial 16S ribosomal RNA". It matches the Rfam family "Bacterial small subunit ribosomal RNA", at positions 510 to 808 of the family's 1533-position model. The record is from RNAcentral.